RNAcentral lists this non-coding RNA (89 nucleotides) under Bacillus sp. (in: firmicutes). Its description in RNAcentral is "Bacillus sp. c-di-GMP sequence". It matches the Rfam family "c-di-GMP-I riboswitch aptamer". From Rfam's summary of the family: GEMM was predicted in a large-scale screen for bacterial structured RNA regulatory elements. The record is from RNAcentral. RNAcentral also lists the same sequence under 1 other name. Lineage: Bacteria; Bacillati; Bacillota; Bacilli; Caryophanales; Bacillaceae.
UACCUACAUAGGCAAAUUUUACGAAAGUAAAGGACGCAAAGCCACGGGCCUAAAGCAAACUUUUUUGCCAUGGUAGCCGGGUUGCAAUU